RNAcentral lists this ribosomal RNA (2349 nucleotides) under Triticum aestivum (bread wheat). RNAcentral describes it as "partial small subunit ribosomal RNA". Lineage: Eukaryota; Viridiplantae; Streptophyta; Magnoliopsida; Poales; Poaceae. The record is from RNAcentral.
AUGGAGCCCGGAAAGAGGGAGACAUGGCGGACGACGAUGUUGCUGGCGUACCAGAGCCUGGGGGUGGUGUACGGGGACCUGAGCAUCUCCCCGCUCUACGUCUACAAGAGCACCUUCGCCGACGACAUCACGCACACCGACUCCAACGACGAGAUCCUCGGCGUCCUCUCCUUCGUCUUCUGGACGCUCACCCUCAUCCCGCUCCUCAAGUACGUCUCCAUCGUGCUCCGCGCCGACGACAACGGCGAGGGCGGCACCUUCGCGCUCUACUCCCUCAUCUGCCGCCACGCCAACGUCAGCCUCCUCCCCAACCGCCAGCUCGCCGAUCAGGAGCUCUCCACCUACAGCCUCGAGCGCCCCCCCGAGGAGGUCGCCCACGGCUCCCGCGUCAGGCGAUGGCUCGAGGCGCACCGCAGCCUCAAGACCGCCCUGCUCGUCAUGGUCAUGAUCGGGACCUGCAUGGUCAUCGGCGACGGCGUCCUCACCCCCGUCAUCUCCGUGUUCUCGGCUGUUUCUGGGCUUGAGCUCUCCUUGUCCAAGCAUCAGCAUGAAUAUGCCGUCACUCCGAUAACAUGUGCCAUAAUAGUGUUCCUGUUCGCUCUCCAGCAUUACGGCACCCACCGCGUCGGGUUUCUCUUCGCUCCGAUAAUUCUGGCCUGGCUGAUCUGCAUGAGCGCACUCGGCGUGUACAAUAUCAUCAAAUGGAACCCCCAGGUUUACAUGGCACUCAAUCCCGUGUACAUGUUCAAAUUCUUGAAGAAGACCAAGAAGUCUGGCUGGAUGUCCCUGGGAGGGAUUCUGCUCUGCAUGACAGGAUCUGAAGCAAUGUUUGCAGAUCUUGGCCAUUUCUCCUACAGUGCAAUCCAGUUUGCUUUUACUUCUUUGGUGUACCCUGCACUGAUCCUAGGAUACAUGGGUCAAGCUGCCUAUUUAACCAAACACCAUGACUUCGACUCAAGCUACCAAAUUGGAUACUACAUCUCAGUUCCAGAGGCUGUGAGGUGGCCGGUGCUGGUGCUGGCGAUCAUGGCGUCGGUGGUGGGAAGCCAAGCGAUCAUCAGCGGCACCUUCUCCAUCAUCAACCAGAGCCAGGCCCUCAGCUGCUUCCCGCGGGUGAAGGUCGUGCACACAUCGGCGAAGGUCCAUGGCCAGAUCUACAUCCCGGAGAUCAACUGGAUGCUCAUGGUGCUCUGCAUCGCCGUCACCGUGGGCUUCCGCGACACCAAGCACAUGGGGAACGCGUCGGGGCUGGCGGUGAUCACGGUCAUGCUGGUCACCACCUGCCUGACGUCGCUGGUCAUGAUGCUGUGCUGGCACCGGCCGCCGGCGCUGGCGCUCGCCUUCUUCGUCUUCUUCGGCUCCAUCGAGGCGCUCUACUUCUCGGCGUCGCUCACCAAGUUCCUCGACGGCGCGUGGGUGCCGCUCCUCCUGGCGCUCAUCCUCGUCGCCGUCAUGUUCGUGUGGCACCACACCACCGUCAAGAAGUACGAGUUCGACCUGCACAACAAGGUCACCAUGGAGUGGCUCCUCGCGCUCUGCGACAGGCUCGGCAUGGUCCGCGUCCCCGGCAUCGGCCUCGUCUACACCGACCUCACCUCCGGCGUGCCCGCCAACUUCUCCCGCUUCGUCACCAACCUCCCGGCCUUCCACCGCGUGCUCGUCUUCGUCUGCGUCAAGUCCGUGCCCGUGCCGCGGGUGCUCCCCGCCGAGCGCUACCUCGUCGGCCGCGUCGGCCCGCCGGGCCACCGCUCGUACCGAUGCAUCGUGCGCUACGGGUACCGGGACGUGCACCAGGACGUGGACUCGUUCGAGACGGAGCUCGUGGAGAGCCUCGCGUCCUUCAUCCGGCUGGACGCGCUCUUCCGGUGCAGCGACGCCCGCAGCGACGCCGACUACGAGCGCGAGAACGCGUUCACCGUCAUUGGCAGCAACCCGCUCCGGCGCCGCAUCAGCUACGACGACACCCACGACAGCGCGUCGUCCGUGGAGAUACGCGUGGAAAGCCCGGCCGGCAGCAACGGGGCGAACACCAUUGAACUCGCGUCCGUGCCGGCAGCGGCGCCGCGGGUGGUGAAGAGGGUGAGGUUCCUGGUGGACCCCGGGAGCCCCGAGGUGGAGGACAAGCAGAUGCUGGAGGAGCUCCACGAGCUGUGCGAGGCGAGGGAGGCCGGCACGGCCUUCAUCAUGGGCCACUCCCACGUGAAGGCCAAGCCCGGGUCGUCGCUGCUCAGGAGGCUGGCCAUCGGGUACGGCUACAACUUCCUGCGCCGGAACUGCCGCGGCCCGGACGUCGUGCUGCGCGUGCCGCCGGCGUCGCUGCUCGAGGUCGGCAUGGUCUACGUGCUGUGA